This 290-nucleotide ribosomal RNA is filed under the name uncultured fungus. RNAcentral describes it as "partial 25S ribosomal RNA". Lineage: Eukaryota; Fungi. The record is from RNAcentral.
UUGAAAGGGAAACGAUUGAAGUCAGUCGUACCAGCGGGAAAUCAACCUUUCGAGUGGGGUUUUGGAGUUUUGAAGAGUGUCAAAGCCUUUGAGAUUUCAAAAUGUUUGCUCUUUUGGUGUACUUUCUCGUAGGUAGGCUAACAUCGAUUUUGGUCAUCAUAAAAGGAUUGGAGGAAUGUAGCUUCGAUCUCGUAUUGAAGUGUUAUAGCCUUUGGUAAAUGUGAUGAUUAGGAUCGAGGAUUGCAACGAAUACCCUUUUGGGCUAUCCGCCUGAUCUCUGAUACGUGGCC